CAUUAAUGAAUUACAAAGUCGGCCGAGUUGUUGCUGGUAGAGGUAACUCUGCAUGUGCACACUCGUUCGCAAAUCCACACACACCUGUGCAUCUAUGACUCAAGGUUGUAACGACUGAGAGUACUUUUUUUACACUCUUGAAUGUAACGGAAUGUCUUUUURUGCUAUAACGUACAAAUUAUAAACAACUUUCAACAACGGAUCUCUUGGCUCUCGCAUCGAUGAAGAACGCAGCGAAAUGCGAUAAGUAAUGUGAAUUGCAGAAUUCAGUGAAUCAUCGAAUCUUUGAACGCACCUUGCACCCUUUGGUAUUCCGAAGGGUACGCCCGUUUGAGUGUCAUUGUAAUCUCACAUUUUGACUUUAUUGUUGAAUGUGGACUUGGAUGUUGCUGUUUUAUCUACGGCUCGUCUUAAAUGUCUGAGUGUACCCUGCUUUGCCAGCGUAUCAGGUGUAAUAAAUAUUUCACCCGAGUUGGUCUCACGAUCGCGCUUUACUUAGUAUGGCUCUAUGCUUUCAAACCGUCUUUUACAGACAAUUUCUGACAAUUUGACCUCAAAUCGGGUGGGACUACCCGCUGAACUUAA
RNAcentral lists this ribosomal RNA (585 nucleotides) under uncultured Sebacinales. RNAcentral's name for it is "eukaryotic LSU rRNA". The stretch from base 187 to 340 matches the Rfam family "5.8S ribosomal RNA". Lineage: Eukaryota; Fungi; Basidiomycota; Agaricomycetes; Sebacinales. The record is from RNAcentral.